GGAGAGAUGGGUGAGUGGUUUAAACCGGCUCCCUGCUAAGGAGUUGUGCGGGCUUAUACCCGUACCGAGGGUUCGAAUCCCUCUCUCUCCGCCA
RNAcentral lists this transfer RNA (94 nucleotides) under Candidatus Pelagibacteraceae bacterium. RNAcentral's name for it is "tRNA-Ser". It matches the Rfam family "tRNA". From Rfam's summary of the family: Transfer RNA (tRNA) molecules are approximately 80 nucleotides in length. Their secondary structure includes four short double-helical elements and three loops (D, anti-codon, and T loops). The record is from RNAcentral. Lineage: Bacteria; Pseudomonadati; Pseudomonadota; Alphaproteobacteria; Candidatus Pelagibacterales; Candidatus Pelagibacteraceae.